UUAAAUUGAAGAGUUUGAUCAUGGCUCAGAUUGAACGUUGGCGGCAGGCCUAACACAUGCAAGUCGAACGGUAACAGGAAGCAGCUUGCUGCUU
Molecule: ribosomal RNA, 94 nt
Filed under: Salmonella enterica
Lineage: Bacteria; Pseudomonadati; Pseudomonadota; Gammaproteobacteria; Enterobacterales; Enterobacteriaceae
Description: partial 16S ribosomal RNA
Rfam family: Bacterial small subunit ribosomal RNA
Source: RNAcentral